Molecule: transfer RNA, 70 nt
Filed under: Protanguilla palau
Lineage: Eukaryota; Metazoa; Chordata; Actinopteri; Anguilliformes; Protanguillidae
Description: tRNA-Arg
Rfam family: tRNA
About the family: Transfer RNA (tRNA) molecules are approximately 80 nucleotides in length. Their secondary structure includes four short double-helical elements and three loops (D, anti-codon, and T loops).
Source: RNAcentral
AGGCGAUUAGUCCAACGAAAGAUUGCUGAUUUCGGCUCAGUAGAACAUGGUUCGAUUCCAUGAUCGUCUU